GGCUCCGUCUCUGGGCUUCCAUGGGUUCCGCCGCCGCGCCCUUGAUCUCUUCUGUCUGCCUGACGCAGAACCGUAGUUCUCUUAGUUUUAGCUCCGUGGCUUCGGAUCAUUUGCGGUUCGGUUCGCCAACCGUCGAAUUCGCCGCCGUCAAGAAGUACCGGAGAGUUGGAAUUCGAGUUCCUGUGUGCAGAGCUGUCUCCGUUGUGUUUAGCAACCUCGAUGCCGAUGAUUUUCGGCACCCCUUGGAUAAACAGAACACGCUGAUUUUGAGAGCGAUUCCGGGAUUGAAUGAGUUUGGAAAGAUUCUGCUAGGAUCUGUUGCAGAGCAAGUCAUGCUUCUUGAGAACAUCGGAACGUCCCUUCUUGUUUCGAAAGAUCAGCUUUCUGGCCUACAUCAAUUGAUGGUGGAGGCCGCGGAGAUUCUCAGCAUUGAUGCUCCUGAUUUAUAUGUUCGUCAAAGUCCUGUACCAAAUGCGUAUACUUUAGCAAUAAGUGGUAAAAAGCCGUUUGUUGUUGUUCAUACUAGUCUCGUGGAGCUUUUGACACGAGAAGAGCUGCAGGCUGUUUUGGCUCAUGAGUUGGGCCAUCUGAAAUGUGACCAUGGUGUGUGGCUUACGUUUGCAAAUAUUCUUACCCUCGGAGCUUAUACAAUACCUGGGCUAGGUGGGAUGAUUGCUCAGAGGUUGGAAGAACAGUUAUUUCGUUGGCUUCGAGCAGCAGAGCUAACUUGUGAUCGUGCAGCUCUUCUUGUUGCACAAGACCCAAAGGUGGUCGUCUCUGUUCUAAUGAAAUUAGCUGGGGGCUGCCCAUCUCUGGCUGAUCAACUAAAUGUGGAUGCGUUUUUGGAACAAGCUCGCUCCUACGACAAAGCUUCUUCAAACCCUGUGGGGUGGUAUAUAAGAAAUGCUCAAACGAGGCAACUUUCACAUCCUCUGCCAGUUCUACGUGCUCGUGAAAUUGAUGAAUGGUCAAGAAGUCAAGAUUACAAAACUCUUCUGAGCCAGGCAACACGGAUCUCUGGCUCAAAGAAAGGGUUAACAACACCUGGAAAGAUAGGGUCAAAAUCCAUAGUACUGUGAAAAGCCCUGCGUGUGCGUCUCAUGGCAAAGAACUUGGGAGUUAAGAGGAGGAUAUGCUAAGCAUCUGCUUUAAAAGUCUUGCUGCAGCUAAAUUCUACAGACUAAAGAUGCACGAGUAGUAACUUCAUAGAAGGGGGAAAACAAGAAAAGAGUGAGAGUUCGAAAAGUUUGUUGUUGCUAGCACUGUUUCAAGCCGAAAUUUCGGGGGCAUGAUUCGCAUGAAGUUAGCUUCUUCCCUAUAAAUACCUUGCCCUUUCAGUUAACUAAAACACACACAGAAAUUUCCCGUUAGUUUCCUUAGCAAGCAUGGCUUCCACCAUUUCCCACUUUCCAGCAUUCUACUCUGCUCUAGUUUUCCUUCUCCUUCUGAACGCCCUCAUUCCUCUUGAUUGUGCUUCAGCUCAUCAACCAUCGCAUGUCGUCCCUCCUAGGCCACCACCGCGUUCAGCCUCAGCUCCGGAUGGCAGAAUUCCUCUGACGGGAACACCUCCGACUCCUGUUCUGUGCGACAAGGAGGCACCUAUUCAACAACAGCCAACGUCUCGGAAGCUUGGGGUUUAAGUUUAACAUGGAAGAUGAAUGAUGAACUUAUGCCGUUUAUAACUACGAAUAAUAAUACCGACUAAAUAAUCGACAUUGAUCGACUUGUAUUUCGAUAGCUAAUAAGCAGUUGGAUGCUGAAAACUUGAAAUCAUACACAUUUCCAUGCCUAAGGUUGUUUCUUCAAAGCGUUUUGGCAUUAAAAUUGAACUUGGAUCA
This is an RNA transcript of Pyrus x bretschneideri (Chinese white pear), 1838 nucleotides long. It is a transcript of the gene named protease HtpX homolog, with no coding region annotated. The transcript is spliced from 10 exons. The record is from RefSeq and is a predicted model, not a curated record. NCBI's taxonomy places the organism in Eukaryota, Viridiplantae, Streptophyta, Magnoliopsida, Rosales, Rosaceae.